AGGGUCAGUCCAUCUCCAUCCUGCUUUCCUUUUCUUUCUUUUCAACAAAUAUUGAUGGAGCACCUCCUCGGUGCCAGGCGCUGCUGCAGCCUCUAGGAAAUCAACCGUGGAAACACACGGACCCUGCCCUCCCGGCGCCAGUGUUCUGGUGGUCAGGAGGUGAAGAAAACCAGCAAGAACCAGCACAGGAAUCCGACGGUGGCAGCGCCGAGAGAAACAAGCUUGGAGGGGAAGGAGAGCUACAGAGGCUGCAUGGAUGUGAUGGUUGGAGUGGAAGCUGACAUUGUGGGCCAGGAGACCCUGGGAGUACAGGCCAAGAUGAAAAGAGCCUCAAUCCAGAGCGUUCUGUGAAGCAGUCACCACGGCCACCCUGGGCCAUCAGCUUCUGGACUUUUACAACAUAGAAAUUAAAUUUCCAUUGAAUUUGUUGGAGUCAUUGUUCCUUCAGCUCUCUGUUACCUGCACUUACAUCUCUCUGUGAGUCGCGGAGUCUUGCAGUUAAGGUAUUAAUAUUAUUGCGUCUCAAGGUGCCUCAGGUCAGAGGUUCCAAAGGUGAAUGAGGGCACAGCUCUCCGUCUGAGACUCACGGUGGAGAAGCCUCCUCACCUUGCUCCUUCUCCCUGUCACCAAGAAAGGAGGUCUGGGGGAAGGAAGGGGUCCGUGUGGCCCUCCCGCCCCCACACUGUCCCUCUUGGAUUCUGCUAGCCUGUGGGUGUGGGCAGCAGCUCAGCCUGGCCCUGGAAUUUUCCAUAAAGGUCUUUCCAGGUAAGAAUGAUUAGACAACAUAUUUUGUAUUCAUUAUUAUAUAGUGCGUUUUAAAUGUUAUUUACGUGUAUGUGGGUGGGUAAGAUUUAAUGGCUAAAGAGUGCUAGACAGCGGGAGCCAGGAGUGUGUCUGGGCUUGUCACAUGAAUUCCUGCAGAAAUAAUUCUCUUUUGGAGAAUGCUGAACGUCAUACCUUCCUGAUCGUAACCUCAACGUGGCCCUAAGCGCCCUGUCCAGGGCCCCAGAGUUUCUGAACUCAGCUUAAGUCAGCUCCCCAAAUUCAGCAGAAAGUGGGAGGAGUUGGGGCUGUU
This 1075-nucleotide long non-coding RNA is filed under the name Homo sapiens (human). Its description in RNAcentral is "non-protein coding MAFA-AS1:1". The record is from RNAcentral. Lineage: Eukaryota; Metazoa; Chordata; Mammalia; Primates; Hominidae.